Molecule: long non-coding RNA, 1372 nt
Organism: Hemicordylus capensis (graceful crag lizard)
Lineage: Eukaryota; Metazoa; Chordata; Lepidosauria; Squamata; Cordylidae
Exons: 3
Source: RefSeq, a predicted model, not a curated record
GCUGGAUGGAGGCCAGUGAAGGCCACAUAGCGGUGGCUGUGGUCUAUAACAUUUGCUGCCUGAAGUAAUUUUGGAGCAUGGACCUAAAGGCCUUUGGAGGCCCCCCUUUCUCCUGCAAAUUAAGCAUCAUCAUGCUCCUCUGGGAGACCACACCACUCGGGACAGACUAAAGAGGAUUUGGGGGCUUCAAGGGGCUGUGGAAGCCCUGGACUUUGGCCCUGAAGUCCAGAAAUAAGAGCACCUCUGCCUGAAGUAGAACCUCAGCCAAGGCCACCUGCUAAUAGAGUGAUGGUUGAGUUGCAGUGCUGUCCCUGAUUACUGACCGACGAUGUGCUACAUGAAGUGGACAGCUUCACCUGCUACACGAAAGAGCCAGCCCUGCUCUCGCCACUUGUCAUGACUGUAUCUCCCAUUGUUCAUGAAAAAAAUUGUUUCAAAAAGGGGUACCUUUAUCAGAUGUGGGACAUAGGAUACUGCCCCUUCCAUCCAUGUGCAAAGUUCCUUUGGACCGUUGGGUUUGUCCUUGAUAUCAGCACUCAGGUUUCCCCAAAUUAAAUAUUUGAUUUCAGAUUUGAAACCGUUUUGAUGAGCAAAGCCAAACACACACAGUACUUUUGCCUGACUUGAAAGAUUAAGGCAAAAAUGGUGGGUCUUGUUCAGACAAAACAGCUGUGGAGUCUGAGGGGAGAAUUUUGACAAGACUCGUGAAAUUUCUUGGAAUGAGGGUAAGGCUGCACCUCCCUAAUUUGUUAUCAUUUUUUUCCCUAAAGGAAAAUUUUAAGUCAAAUUUGUAGGUUCCUACUUGAUCUCUGGCUUUGAGGAAUUUUAAGAGAAGCAAUAAAAUAGAGUUUUAAUAAGGUUCAUGAAAAUACUCAGUGAUGUUCACCACAUCACUGCAUUACAUAAGAGAAACAAUGGACAACAAAUGUUCAUUGGAGCUCAUGUUGACUUACUGUGGUAGCUGUGCAAAAAGUAAAUUUCAGGGUAGGGUUAUUAGGAAAUCAUAAUGCCUUUAUAUACAAUGUGGAGACAAUGGAUAGGAAGAGGUUUUCCCCUCCUAUAAUUCUAGAACUUGUGGUCACCCAAGCAAAUAGAUGGGCAGCAGAGUGAUUCUACUCUACUGGUGAUUCUAUUUAUUGAGAUGAGGAGAGCAACUGGCUCAUUCCAGCCCCAGCACAGUAUCCCUCCAGCGGCUGAUGCUGGUGUCCAUCUUAUGCUUCUUUUUAGAUUGUGAGCCCUUUGGGGACAAGGAUCCAUUUUUUAAAAUUUAUUUUUCUCUAUGUAAACAGUUUUGGGAACUUUUCUGAAAAGCAGUAUAUAAAUAUUUGUCAUUGUCAUCAAGAUAGACAAAAUAAAGUACUUCUUCACACAA